RNAcentral lists this ribosomal RNA (305 nucleotides) under uncultured bacterium. Its description in RNAcentral is "partial 16S ribosomal RNA". It matches the Rfam family "Bacterial small subunit ribosomal RNA", at positions 508 to 807 of the family's 1533-position model. The record is from RNAcentral.
ACAGCAGCCGCCACGGGAAUACGAGGGGGGCAAGCGUUGUUCGGAAUUAUUGGGCGUAAAGGGUGCGUAGGCGGCUUGACAAGUCUUGUGUGAAAUCUAUGGGCUCAACCCAUAGUCUGCACGGGAAACUGUCGGGCUUGAGAAUGGGAGAGGUGAGUGGAAUUUCCGGUGUAGCGGUGAAAUGCGUAGAUAUCGGAAGGAACACCUGUGGCGAAAGCGGCUCACUGGACCAUUUCUGACGCUGAUGCACGAAAGCUAGGGGAGCAAACAGGAUUAGAUACCCCCGUAGUCCCUGUCUCUUAUAC